This 504-nucleotide ribosomal RNA is filed under the name uncultured bacterium. RNAcentral describes it as "partial 16S ribosomal RNA". It matches the Rfam family "Bacterial small subunit ribosomal RNA", at positions 30 to 523 of the family's 1533-position model. The record is from RNAcentral.
AUUGAACGCUGGCGGCAUGCCUUACACAUGCAAGUCGAACGGCAGCAUGGAGAGCUUGCUCUCUGAUGGCGAGUGGCGAACGGGUGAGUAAAGCAUCGGAACGUACCGUGUAGUGGGGGAUAACGUAGCGAAAGUUACGCUAAUACCGCAUACGCACUGAGGUGGAAAGCAGGGGAUCGUAAGACCUUGCGCUAUACGAGCGGCCGAUGUCAGAUUAGCUAGUUGGUAGGGUAAAGGCCUACCAAGGCGACGAUCUGUAGCGGGUCUGAGAGGAUGAUCCGCCACACUGGGUCUGGGACACGGCCCAGACUCCUACGGGAGGCAGCAGUGGGGAAUUUUGGACAAUGGGGGCAACCCUGAUCCAGCCAUGCCGCGUGAGUGAAGAAGGCCUUCGGGUUGUAAAGCUCUUUCGGCCGGGAAGAAAUCGCACAGGCUAAUACCCUGUGUGGAUGACGGUACCGGCAUAAGAAGCACCGGCUAACUACGUGCCAGCCGCCGCGGUAA